Molecule: non-coding RNA, 150 nt
Filed under: Pseudomonas aeruginosa
Lineage: Bacteria; Pseudomonadati; Pseudomonadota; Gammaproteobacteria; Pseudomonadales; Pseudomonadaceae
Description: radC
Rfam family: radC RNA
Source: RNAcentral
AUCGCACGCUUGGGUAUCCAUCCCCAGGAACCAAAACCCACCCAGAAGUCCAUUGCCUUCAAGGACUUGCCGCAGCGGCGGUGGCAACCCCAAGGUCGCCUAGCACUCGGAAGCGCGACUGCGAACCGGCUCUUUUCGGUUCUGGAGUGC